Molecule: ribosomal RNA, 492 nt
Filed under: uncultured bacterium
Lineage: Bacteria
Description: partial 16S ribosomal RNA
Rfam family: Bacterial small subunit ribosomal RNA
Source: RNAcentral
AGUGAACGCUGGCGGUAUGCCUAACACAUGCAAGUCGAACGGCAGCACAGUAAGAGUUUGCUCUUACGGGUGGCGAGUGGCGGACGGGUGAGGCAUACAUCGGAAUCUCCUUUUUCGGGGGGGAUAACGUAGGGAAACUUACGCUAAUACCGCUUACGACCUACGGGUGAAAGCAGGGGAUCUUCGGACCUUGCUCGAUUGAAUGACCCGAUGUCGGGUUAGCUAGUUGGCGGGGUAAAGGCCCACCAAGGCUACGAUCCGUAGCUGGUCUGAGAGGAUGAUCAGCCACACUGGAACGGAGACACGGUCCAGACUCCUACGGGAGGCAGCAGUGGGGAAUAUUCGACAAUGGGCGCAAGCCUGAUCCAGCCAUACCGCGUGGGUGAAGAAGGCCUUCGGGUUGUAAAGCCCUUUUGUUGGGAAAGAAAAGCAGCAGGUUAAUACCCCGCUGUUCUGACGGUACCCAAAGAAUAAGCACCGGCUAACUUCGUG